Molecule: long non-coding RNA, 379 nt
Organism: Esox lucius (northern pike)
Lineage: Eukaryota; Metazoa; Chordata; Actinopteri; Esociformes; Esocidae
Exons: 3
Source: RefSeq, a predicted model, not a curated record
AAAUAGUUUUUGCUUGUACGAAUCUAGUUUUACAAUUCUAAAAUACAGCAUCACAAUCGGGACUUUUGGCGGUUUCAUCUCAUCCUCCCCAAAAAAUAACCGAAACAUUCCGGGAUGAGUGCUAAUAUAACAAGCAGAGGCAGUGUGACCAACAGGAAAUCAGGGAAACUGGAAAUAGAUAUCUAACUAUAUAGUAUGAAGGGAGGCUUGGAAGCUCCAAACCCCUACCAAGAUCUGCAACACUAAUUAGGAUAAUGUUCAGGCCACAUCCUGAACCUGAAUCUUCCACUGACAGGAUAAUGUUCAGGCCACAACCUCAACCUGAAUCUUCCACUGACUGGGUAAUGUUCAUGCCACAACCUCAACAUGAAUCUUCCAC